GCGAACUUGGCAGAGAUGCCUUGGUGCCUUCGGGAACGCUGAGACAGGUGCUGCAUGGCUGUCGUCAGCUCGUGUUGUGAAAUGUUGGGUUAAGUCCCGNAACGAGCGCAACCCUUAUCCUUUGUUGCCAGCGAUUCGGUCGGGAACUCAAAGGAGACUGCCGGUGAUAAACCGGAGGAAGGUGGGGAUGACGUCAAGUCAUCAUGGCCCUUACGAGUAGGGCUACACACGUGCUACAAUGGCGCAUACAAAGAGAAGCGACCUCGCGAGAGCAAGCGGACCUCAUAAAGUGCGUCGUAGUCCGGAUCGGAGUCUGCAACUCGACUCCGUGAAGUCGGAAUCGCUAGUAAUCGUGGAUCAGAAUGCCACGGUGAAUACGUUCCCGGGCCUUGUACACACCGCCCGUCACACCAUGGGAGUGGGUUGCAAAAGAAGUAGGUAGCUUAACCUUCGGGAGGGCGCUUACCACUUUGUGAUUCAUGACUGGGGUGAAGUCGUAACAAGGUAGGCGUAGCGAG
RNAcentral lists this ribosomal RNA (518 nucleotides) under uncultured bacterium. RNAcentral's name for it is "bacterial SSU rRNA". It matches the Rfam family "Bacterial small subunit ribosomal RNA", at positions 991 to 1509 of the family's 1533-position model. The record is from RNAcentral.